CUGUCAGGUCCGUCUCUCUCGGUUCGCUAUCGACCCGAGCGCAUGCAACGGAUCGCCGCCGGCUCGCCCGCGCGAUUCCAGCUGGCACCCCAACUAACUCCUUACCUAGACUAUUGACUAUAUAGUCGUGCGCUGGAGACCUGUUUUUCGCUUUCUCAGCCGUGCCCAAUUACCAUCCACGAAGCCGAGAAGUGAGAGAGGGAGAGCUGCCGCAUCCGCUCUCCGUUGGUGUAGCAGAGUGAAGCGCGAGGAUAGGCCACAGACCGUUGCAGUGUUCUCAGGGGUGAAAUCAACGCCGCCCCAGUGCGGAUUGGCGCUCGAGACGAGCGAGAAUUCCUCACCAGAGAUUUGCGGCCGCCGUGGCCCGAGAUCCACCAUGGACGAAGCCCGGCACGACGGAAUCCACGACGAGCAAGUGACCGAGGAGCCCGAAACAUAACAGGUGGAAAAUACUGAGCAGCAGCUCGUUGAAGGCAAGUUGUGUCCUUGAUCUCUCUUCUUUACCCAAUAAUGUUACUAUUAAUCACUGUGGCAUGCUUAGAUUAAUCUUGAUGGGACCUAAUAGGUCAACCUAGUUUGAGUUACCUUAUACCUUACUUAUCACUGAACGUUUGGGUAGUAUGUGUUAUUGUUCUAUGUGGUUUUGGGUAUUAAGAUACAUUUUAUUCAUGACCAUGCUAUUUAUUGUCAAUGGAAUAUUUUUUGUUCAUGAUAAGGUUAUUAUGUUAAUUGGAACAUGGAGCGACCACCCGAGAAAACAGUGCUACCACAAGUGUAGAAUGGGACGCCCUUGGCUGAUUAAUUAGGAAAGCUAGUGUGAGUUAAUCUUUUCCCGAAAGGGGCAAGCGGGGUGGAGGAUGCAGGUGUAGGGAGGUCCUUGGGUCUGAGUGUCUUGUUAACUUUCUGGACGAAGGAUUCCUAUGCAGCUUUCGGCCCGGAAACCGUAGCGGGUUCUCUCCUCUAGUGGAACUUUGUAAAUGCCUCGCAGUGUACCAUCAUCUACUCACCUUGGCAAUGUUUAAGGGUUUGAUCAA
This is a long non-coding RNA of Zea mays, 1034 nucleotides long. RefSeq lists it as uncharacterized. The record is from RefSeq and is a predicted model, not a curated record. Lineage: Eukaryota; Viridiplantae; Streptophyta; Magnoliopsida; Poales; Poaceae. The transcript is spliced from 2 exons.